AGGUUAAAUUUUUUGAUUAAGGAAUUAUUUAAUAUAUCUUAAAAAAAGGCAUUUAAAAAUAAAAUUGGUAAAUUAUAUGUAUAAAGGACGUGACGUUUCGAAAGUUAUAAGGAGGUUUAGACCUGUGAUUUUUAAAUUUCCUAGCUAAAAAAUAGAAUUUAUAAAACAUUGUAAAUUGAAACAUCUUACUAACAAUUAAGUAAAAAUCAACCGAAAAAUUGUAAGUAAUGGUGAGUGAACGCAAUUAAAGUAAAUAUUAAGAUAAAAAAAAUUUGAAGAGUUUACAAAAAAAGGUGUAAGUCCUGUAAAAAUUUUUUAUCUUAAACAAGAAGUAUAACGAAUAAAAAUCGUAAGAAGAGAGGAGAACCACCUUCUAAACUUAAUAAUAUAAUUUAAUCGAUAGUGGAAGAGUAUUGUGAAAAAAAUUUGAAAAAAUUUGAAAAAAUUUGAAAAAAUUUGAAUGUCUAAUUAAUUACUUGAAGUAAAAAUAUACAACAAGAUGCUUUUUGCAGAACGAGUCAGUAAGUUAAAAAUUAUAGCAAAAUAUUUUAAUUUUAAAAUAUUAUCGUAAAGUUAUAAUUAUUAGACCUGAAACCAAGUGAUCUAAUUAUGAGUAAGUUGCUUUUAAUGUAACAAUUAAUUAAAGACUGAACUUCUACAUGUAGCAAAAUGUAAAGAAAAUUUGUAAUUAGGAGUGAAAGGCUAAUCAAACUUGGUUAUAGCCGGUUUUUCACGAAAUGUAUUUUAGUACAGCAUCAUUAGAUAAUUUUUAAUGUAUAGUAAAAGAUUUUUUAAUAAAUUUUUAACUUCAAAAUUAAAAAUUAAUUUAAAAAAAUAUUAAUGAUAGUCAGUCAUAUAGCGAGAAGGUUUUAUGACAAGCGGAAAACAAUCCUAAUCAUUUGUUAAGGUAUUAAAUUAUACAUAAAAGAAAGGUUUUAAAAUAUUUAAAUAUUUCUAAUAGGCUUAGAAGCAGUUUUUUAUUUGAGAAAGCGUUUUAGCUCAUUAUUUCUUUUUUUAAAACUAAAAAUUUUAGAUAAAAAAGUAUAAACCGAAACAGUGAAUAUGCUUAAAUUAAAGUAUAUGGUAGUGAAACGUUUUGUUAUUUAAUUAUAAUUUAAAGAGGAAUCGUUAAAAUUAUUACAAAAAUGCGAAUGCUGACAUGAGUAACGAAAAUUAUGUAAAAAUCAUAAUCAUAAAAAAAUAGGUUUUCAAUGUACUUUAAAAUCCAUUGAGUGAGUCGGUUCUUAAAAAUUUUACUAAAUAGUUAUUUUGAUAGAAAAUAAAUUUCAUUUAAUUUUACUACUUGCAGUUUUUUAAAUUAACAAAAAAGUAUUAAAUUUAACUUUUAACUUUAUCUUUUUAAAAUUAAUUAAAAAUUAAAUGAAAAAUUCUCGAGAAAAAAGCAAGUAAAAAAAACCGUACUAAAUCCGACACAGGUUUUUUUAUAUGAGUGAAAAAAUUAUAUUAAAGGAACUUGGCAAAUUGAUCUCGUAUGUUAGCUAAAAGAGAUAUCUAUAGUGAAAUAUAGAUAACAUAAACUAAAAAGCAACGACUGGUUAACAAAACCACAGGACUCUGCUAAUUUUUAAAAAGAUGUAUAGAGUCUGAAGCCUGCCCAGUGCUUAAAAAUGAAAUAUUUAGAGAAAUAUAAACUAAAUAAUAAGUUUAAGUAAACGGCGGUUCUAACUAUAAGAAUCCUCAGGUAGCGAAAUUCCUUGGCGGGUAAAUUCCGUCCUGCAUGAAUGGCUUAACGAUUGCUUUACUGUCUCUAAUAUAAAUUCAGUGAAAUUACAAUAUUCAUGAAAAUGUGAAUUUUUUACAAUAAGACGGAAAGACCCUAGAUCCUUUACUUUUAUUUUAUAUUGUUAUUAAAUUUUUUAAUAAAAAUGGGAGUGAAAAACGUUCAUGAAAUACCAUUUUUAAAAUUUUAAAACUAAUUUACAUUUUUUAAAGAAAGUUUAAAAGAGAAAGUUUACUUGGGAUGAGUACCUCCUAAAAAGUAACGGAGGUGUACAAAGGUAAAAUUAAGUAUAAUAGCCAUUAAUUUUUUGCUUGAUAAUAAAAUUAAUAAAUUAAAUUAGGACGCAAGUCAGUUAUAAUGACCCGAAUUUGAGAGUGGAAUUAAAUUCGUUCAACAGAUAAAAGGAACUCUAGGGAUAACAGAUUCAUCAUGAUUAAAAGUCCAUAUUGAAAUCAUGGUUUGAUACCUCGAUGUCGACUCAUCUUAUCCUGAAAUUGAAAUUAAUUUCAAGGGUCUAGUUGUUCGCUAGUUAAAAAGGUACGUGAGUUGGGUUCAGAACGUCGUGAGACAGUUCGGUCCCUAUCUAUUGUAAAUUAAAAAAAUAAAAAGAAUUAUUUUUAGUACGAGAGGACCAAAAUAUAUUAACCACUGGUAAAUUGAUUAAAAAUUUUAUUAUUUUAAUGUCAAGUAGCUACGUUAGUUUAAUUUAAAUACUGAAUGAAUCAAUAGUAUAAAAUUAACUUUUAAAUUUUUUUGAAUAUUCUUUUCGAAAAAAAGAUAGAUCGGUCUAAUUUUAAUUUUUAGUAAUAAAACAACUAUAGAUACGAAUUAAUCAAAGAAAUUUUUUAAUUAACUUAA
RNAcentral lists this ribosomal RNA (2599 nucleotides) under Dictyomenia sonderi. RNAcentral's name for it is "large subunit ribosomal RNA". It matches the Rfam family "Bacterial large subunit ribosomal RNA". Lineage: Eukaryota; Rhodophyta; Florideophyceae; Ceramiales; Rhodomelaceae. The record is from RNAcentral.